UUUUUUUUUUUUUUUGGUCUUUUUGCCAUUUCUUGGGCCACUCCCGCGGCACAUGGGAGGUUCCCAGGCUAGGGGUCUAAUCGGAGCUGUAGCCGCCAGCCUACACCAAAACCACAGCCACGCCAGAUCCGAGUCGCGUCUGCGACCUACACCACAGCUCACGGCAACACCGGAUCAUUAACCCACUGAGCAAGGGCAGGGAUUGAACUCCCAACCUCAUGGUUCCUAGUCGGAUUCAUUAACCACUGCGCCACGACGGGCACUCCCCCUGUACUCUUCUUGAUCAAACGUAUCCUCUUCCUGAAGCCUCUCUUUUGCUUUAUCAAGGUUGAUACUAUCACAAUCCUCUUCGUGAGAAUCCUUCAAAAUGCAAACUAGAACAUCUGGAAUGGAUCUGCAGUGGGGUCCUACAGUAGAGCGCAGGGCACUAUGUCCAAUCUCUUAGGUUAGAACAUGAUGGAAGAGAGCAUGAAAAAAAAAAGGUAUGUGUGUCUGUGUGACUGGGUCAGUUUGUUGCACAGCAAAGAAACACUAUAAAUAAACCAUAUUUUAAUAAAAAAAAUUUUAAAAGGAAUCCUUCAAAAUGGAUUUCUACACUGGUGGCUACUGGUGAACCAUCAUCAGUAAAUGACAUUUUCUUAUUCACUUAAAAUGUGUCAUUUUUUUUCUUGUUUCUGGGAUUUUGUUGAUUUUCUGUGCCUCUUGAGUAAUAAGAGCAGACUGAGUGGAAGGCCCUUUUGGUUUCCCACUUUCUCUUCCAUUUCUUCCAUCUGCCUCUCUUCCUUUUCCUCCUUUUCAUCAUUCCACCGGUGGCCAGCUUGUACUCUUCCUGUUCUGCAGCUGGUCUCUUUCUACUGUACUUAAGGAUGGAUAUUUUCUUGUUGGAAUAAACUCUGAAUUCUUUCACUUAGUUACUGGUGAGGCAUAGUGCCUUAGACCUACUAACCAUUCUUUGGUCAGUUGUUACUACAUUUUCUUAAGAAAUCUCAUCCAAGCAAGACAAAGAAACAUAGCAUAUUUGGGCAAAUGUAACUUGUUCAAAUCAGACAGUCCUUCGUCCUUCAUUAGACAUACUAAAAUAUGUAGGAAACAAAACGCCUUUGACCUCUUUCUUUUCAUUGCUGAUCUUGGACUAAAGAUGACUCAGGUUGUUUUUUCUUCUAGAUGUCCAUACAUUUUUCUGGAUUGAUUUUUAUUUCCUUCAUAGGCACUUUCUCUCUACUCAAGAAGAUGUUGUAGUCAUAAUAACCUUUUUUUUUUUUCCUUCUGAGGGAAGCAAAAUUAAUAAAGCUUCAUCAUCUACUUGGCAGGUCUAUAUGCUCUAUGAGUAUGAACUGGCAUCCUCUGGGCAAUCGAACUGAAGAACUCAAUUCAUGACCCGAAUAUCCAACACCCUGGCUGCAGAAUCAGCAGCAAAGAGCACUGUUGGCUCUCCUGCAGAUGAACUUAUUACAGACUUCCAUUUCUCUCAACUACUGCUGUCAACCACAGGAGUCAAGAAUAGAAAUAUUGGAGAUCCCAUCCUGGCUCAUCAGUUAAUGAACCUGAUUGAUAUCCAUGAGGACCCGGGUCUGAUCCCUGGCCUUGCUCAGUAGGUUAAGGAUCCAGUGUUGCCGUAAGCUGAGCAAGGGCAGGGAUCGAACCCACAACCUCAUGGUUCCUAGUCGGAUUCGUUAACCACUGCACCAUGAUGGGAACUCCUAAUUCUUUUUUAAAAAAAGAUUAUUUUCUAUGCAAAAUCAUCUCAGAUUUUCAAAGAUGAUAAUUAAUGUUUAUCUCCCUACUGCUGUCUCUAGAGUUUUGUCUCAUUAGAGAUCUUUCUUUCUGUUUACUUCAUCUCUGCUUUCAUAUUGGAGGCAUUCCCAAAUAUCUGUUGAUCCUUGGCUGACUCUUCCUGUUUAAGUGUAAAUUAUUAUUAAAACAAGUUGGCAGCUCUGUCCAUGGGUUGAAGUUGUUGAAGGGAAGCUUCUGUGAAGAAGAACUGGGGAGUAAGUCGGCCUUCCCUGUGGGGGAACCCCUACAGGGGCUUUCUCUAGAGAACCCUACAGCACACCACUUGGGACUUAGAAGUUUGGGUCCUGGCGCUCCAAGAGCAGGGCAGGAGGUUCCUUAACCCCACUGUCCACUGUUCCUGUGUCCCUGAGCCUGCAUUCUCUGAAACAUCAACACCUCCAGAGAAUAAACCUCUCACCAUCUGAGCUGUGGGGAAGGAGGUUAUUUGGCCAGUGUGAGCCAAGGACCUGAGAGUCCAACCGGUCCUUUUAUUAAAGACUUUCAACUGGUCCUCUGUCUCUAACCCUGUUCUUUACCUCCUCCUCCAGCUGGACCUGGUACCUCUAAUAACAGGACCUCCUGGUUCUACAAGGCAAAACUGCUUCCUGGAAUGUAUUCUGCUCUGCAGGGGCUUCAAUUUGCCCCUUCCUCUGCUAAGUCGCAAUAUCAUACACUUUCCAGGUUCCUAUCUGUGGGUUAGAGUUACUGAUGUCCCCUACUUUUCAUCAAAGAGAGAGCUGGAAUUUUUUUCAUUUUGUUCUUUGUUUUGGGUGGACGUUAAAUAGGAGAAGGCAGGAAAUCUUCUAUUUGCCAUCUUACGAUCGGAACUUCGAGUAUCCACAUUAUUUCACGUACCAGUUGUAAUGGUUUGAAGCUGCUAUGUUUGGGUCUGCUGAACACACACUACCAUCUCCCUUUUUUAUUUAUUUAUUUAUUUUUUUUAAAAGUUGUUUUUGUUUUGUUUUUUGCUUUUUAGAGCCUCACCCGAGGCAUAUGGAAGUUCCCAGGCUAGGGGUUAAAUCGGAGCUAUAGCUGCUGGCCUACACCACAGCCACAGCAAUACAGGAUCCGAGCUGAGUCUGUGACCUACACCCAACUCAGGGCAAUGCUGGAUCCUUAACCCACUGAGGGAGGCCAGGGAUUGAACCUGUAUCCUCAUGGAUACUAGUCAGGUUCCUUACUGCUAAGCCACAAAGGGAACUUCUUCCCUUUUAUAAACUCUUUUGGAGAAAGCCUCUCUUACCCCAAGACCCCAGGGGGAGCUUGCAGUCACUGAGCCAAAUCCCUCCACUGCAGCACUGGGAAAACAUGCCCUCAGCUGGGCCACAGUGACUCUUCAUCACACAUGGGAUCAAAGAAAGUCAAUCUGCAUCUUCUCCAGGGCAGAGAGCAAGAUGUUUGAUCCAACACGUUCUCUUUGUGUUGGGACUGAUGAACUGGGAAGAUGACAUUCUCAAGCUGCUCCUGGUCAUCUUACCGACCGGAUGCUGUCCAGAGGAUGACAAAUAAAGAAGCCAGCAGAGUCCAGAUGAGAUCAUCUGAGUUCCUGGCUGCAACCAUGCCUGACGCCAGAUGCACCUCUGGAAACCAUAGUUAUAUAAACAAUUAAGUCCCUUUUAUUUUUGUAAGCUGGCUUGAGCUGGCUUUCUUACAUGUACAACUGAAGGAGUCCUGAAGAAUUCAUCAUUUAAUUGAAAUGUUCCAAAUUACUAAUACUUGAACCACACUACGCCACUUCUUUGCCAGAAACUACAUAGUCUAACGUCUUUCAUUAAAAUAAAAUUAUAAAUCGUGAAUAUCAUACCCACAUGUCCCUUCCUCCAUUUAGAUAAGAUCCUUUGAUUUUAUCUGAACAUUCUUGUGUUUUCAGGGCGGUAGGACCUUUGAGAAUGAGGCGUCUCUCUAUUCUGUACUACUGCAAACCCAAGAGCCCCUAAACUACAGAACGAUUUCUUCCAGGGAUUUCAAAAGCUCUUAUCAUUUCUUUAACCCUCUCUCAGAGUCUCAGUUUUUAAUAAAACACCAGUUAUAGGGUUAUAUUCCAUAAAAGCUAAGUGGAAAAAUGAAAUAAUAUAUCUCAAAAUAUGUGUUCCCUUUGGAAGAAAAGUAUGGUUUAAAUAUAAAGAAUUUCUUCAGCCUCCAUCUCUGAUCCAGAGACUGGAAAUGAGGAUAAUUUCAACCCAAGGAUUUAUGGGAUGGAGGCAGAUAGUAAUGCCAAGGAGGUGGCUUGGGGGGCGUGGAGGAUGCUCUCCUUGGACUGCCCCCCAACAUCACCUACAGGCCACUGUGCUCGCCAGCCCAAUGGUCAAUGGCUAAGCCCCAGGGUUUAGAAGUUUUAGCCUGGCUCUUUAUCAGUGCCAAGUGCAUAUAGAGGCCAGGCAGGUAAUUCAACAGAGCGGGGAAGCUAAACAUUUUUAAUAUAUUUAAAUUAUUUUCUUUGCAUGAAAAAGUAAAUCUUAUUAAAAAUGCCAGUCUCUCUCUCUUUUUUUAUUGGUUUAAGUUUUUGUUUUGUGUUUUGCAUUUCUACUGUUUCUACUUCGUCCAUGGUUUGUUUCGUAAUGGUAUCUUAAAUAAUAAUUUUCUGGCACUGAAAAUGCCAGAAAUUGUAUAUGAGUAGGAGUGAAUGACAAUGAAGAGAAGAGUGGUUCAGUUUAUUGACGCUUAGUCUGUGGCACGUGCUGUUCUAAGCGCUUUACAUACAUUAACUCAUUCUGUCCUGCUUCAGCCUUGUGAGGUGGGUACCAGCAUCCUUAUUUUACAGAUGAGGGUGUGGAGGCCCUGAGAAGGGUGAGCAGCUGGUCUGAGAUUACAGAGCAAGCAAGUUCUAAGUAGGAAUCCAGGCGCUCUUUUCCAAGGACCUCUGCUCUUGAACUCUGCACUCCACAAAGAAAUAUGCCAUCUGUUGUGGGUUGAAUGGGCUCCCCCCAAAUGUUAUGUUGAAGUUUUAAUCUUGGGGACCUAUGGAUGUACCUGUAUUUGGAAAAAGGAUCUUUGGAGACAUAGUUGGGUUAAAACGACACUGUCCUGGGUUAGGGGAGGCCCUAAGACACUGUGACCACCGUCCUUAUGAGAAGAGGAAAAUGUCAGCACAGGGAAGACGGCCAUGAGAAGGUGGGGACAGGUAGUGGAGUCUCGCUGCCACCAACCAAGGAACGUGUGGGGCCACCAAAAGCUGGAAAAGGCAAGAUGGAUCCUCCCCUCGAGUCUCUGAGGGAGAAGGGCCCUGCCCACACCUGGAUUUCAGACUUCCAGCCUCAGGAACAGGGAGAGCACAAACUUGUGCUGUUCAAAGCCACGCAGUUUAUGGUACAUUGUGAGCAUGGGCCUGGGAGACUAACACACUGUCUUUCACUGAAGUUGAAAUAUGCUAUCCUGUCAACCUCUUAUUUCCAAUGUUAACACAAAUGGCAGGACAAGGAACUUUUAACUUUCCCCUUGAUUCCAUUUAAAGAAAACCAGCGGCCAGAGGUGGGGCUGUGAGAACUGAAAAGCACCAGCUCCCAUCUAAUCCAGGCAGCUUCUCAUCAGCACUAACUGAUGACAGCCACCUGGAAUGGCAGGACUGAAGUCGCCUGAUUUUACAGUACUCAAGAGAACCCAGACGUUUAGAUUUGUAUAUUAAAUUACUUAGUAGCACAUCACAUAGGAACUAGUUAGAAUAAUACUAGCAGAUAAUGAAUUCAUGUUUAAAAUGAACACGUGCAAGCCAAACACAGCCCACAAUUAGGGACCAAACUGGGCCGUGAUCUCUGCUUUGUAUGUUUUCCUUGCUGCUUGUGUCUUCUUUCCCUUUUUGGAGUCAUCCAUCUACCAAACACAAGAGCACAGUGCUGGCUCUUGAAGUCAGGUAGGGAUCAGCACCUCAGAACUAGGGAACCCUCGUGGGAUGUGCUGAGUAUGGCAGAUGUGGAAGUGUUCUACACACCCAUGGACCCAAGACUGAACAGGUGCACCUUCUGGAUACGUAUCUGAAUACUAUUCUUGUUUGUUUGUUUUUUUGUUUGUUUUGGCUGUGCCUGUGGCAUGCACAAGUUCCUGGGUCAGGGAUUAAACCUGUGCCACAGCAGUGACCUGAGCCACUGCAGUAACAGUGCUGGAUCCUUAACCCACUGAACCACCAGGGAACUCCCUGAAUACUACUCUUCCAUGGUGUCAGAUAGUCAGUCUCCUUAAGGCAUUUGUCUUUUAGGAGAGACUCGGGGCUUUAAUGGGAUAAAGAUUUUGGGUAAGCCUGGGAAUGACCCUGGGACUUCUCAGGUUCACCAGCACGUCAUUCAGAGCACAGUCCUUAUAACUUACUGAGUUCCCCACAUUUCUUACCUUUUCUAUGUAUACUUCACAGAAGUUUGAGUGGAUCACAACAGCUCAGUGCUAUCUUUCAGUAUUCACCAUUAUGUAACCUAUGAA
RNAcentral lists this long non-coding RNA (6180 nucleotides) under Sus scrofa (pig). RNAcentral describes it as "lncRNA (ENSSSCG00060052419.1)". The record is from RNAcentral. Lineage: Eukaryota; Metazoa; Chordata; Mammalia; Artiodactyla; Suidae.